ACUAGUUCUCAAGUGUGAACUCUGUAGAUG
RNAcentral lists this non-coding RNA (30 nucleotides) under Cricetulus griseus (Chinese hamster). The record is from RNAcentral. Lineage: Eukaryota; Metazoa; Chordata; Mammalia; Rodentia; Cricetidae.